This 465-nucleotide ribosomal RNA is filed under the name uncultured bacterium. RNAcentral describes it as "partial 16S ribosomal RNA". It matches the Rfam family "Bacterial small subunit ribosomal RNA", at positions 28 to 507 of the family's 1533-position model. The record is from RNAcentral.
GACGAACGCUGGCGGCGUGCUUAACACAUGCAAGUCGAACGGAAAGGCCCCUUUGGGGGUACUCGAGCGGCGAACGGGUGAGUAACACGUGAGUAACCUGCCCUUGACUUCGGGAUAACUUCAGGAAACUGGGGCUAAUACCGGAUAGGAAUCCUUGCUGCAUGGUGGGGGUUGGAAAGCUUCGGCGGUUUUGGAUGGACUCGCGGCUUAUCAGCUUGUUGGUGGGGUAGUGGCUUACCAAGGCUUUGACGGGUAGCCGGCCUGAGAGGGCGACCGGCCACAUUGGGACUGAGAUACGGCCCAGACUCCUACGGGAGGCAGCAGUGGGGAAUAUUGCACAAUGGGCGGAAGCCUGAUGCAGCAACGCCGCGUGCGGGAGGACGGCCUUCGGGUUGUAAACCGCUUUCAGCAGGGGCGAAGCUUGUGGUGACGGUACCUGCAGAAGAAGCACCGGCUAACUACGUG